RNAcentral lists this long non-coding RNA (858 nucleotides) under Monodelphis domestica (gray short-tailed opossum). Its description in RNAcentral is "lncRNA (ENSMODG00000033451.2)". Lineage: Eukaryota; Metazoa; Chordata; Mammalia; Didelphimorphia; Didelphidae. The record is from RNAcentral.
AUGGCGACUUGCCCAGGGUCAUAUAGCUGGGAAGUGUCUGAGGCCAGAUUUGAACCUAGGACCCCCUUCUCUAGAUUGACCCAAAAGGGGAAAAAAGAGAAAAACAAAAUCCAUCCAAAGCCCAGUGACCAUCCCUCAGUGUCUGGGCUGGGCAGCUCCCAAAAGAAAACCUGGCCAAGGGAUAUGCACAGAAUUACUUUUUCUCUUUUUGCUUCCUGGCAGCUACAAAUUAGGGGACAACUAGGCUGCUCAGUGGAUAGAGAGCCAGGUCUAGAGAUGGGAGGUCCUGGGUUCAAACCUAGCCUCAGAAAACUUGCCUGGCCCUUACUUUUCUUCUGUCUUGGAACCAAAACUUAAUACUAUUUCUAAAACAGAAGCAGUUCACAGAGUCUCAUAGGAAGAGACCAAGAACCAGCAAUGGAUGAAAGGGACCAUAUCAGAAGAAGGUCUAACAGGUCUCAGAAGGUAAGGACUUUGGAUAGUAAAAGUUUUGCUUACUGGUAAAAUUUUUCCUAGAUGGGUACCUGUCUAUAGAUUCAGUAGAUGGGAAGCACUCACCUGGGCAAGUGUGAAGAUUCUAAAAUGCCAACAUCACUAACACAUUAGUCCCACAUCCCUACCUCCACCAAUACCUUUCAGACCUCCUCUCUACUUUCUUCUUCCUUUAUGUUUACUUAUUUCCCUUCACCUUGGUUUCCCUUCCUAGCUGCAUCCACCUCUUUCCUCAUUGCUCUCAUCUUUCUUUCCUGAGCAAGACUCCUCAAGACUUAACACUUUCAAUUCCUUCUUCAUCUUGCACUUUCAGGUAUUGCUCAUAUUUUCUUCCUACUGGUUUUCCUACCUAUAAUCUACUCACCU